UUCUCCAGCAUCGAAAUUUAAACAUAAAAUCCCGACUUUGAAGUUCAUUUCUAGCAAAGUCUUUAGCCCGGAUCCUACUAUAUUUUGUUUCAUGUCAAAUAUUUUUCUAACUAUGGAGGGAGCUAGCAUACUUAACAGCCGUAGGAGAAGUUCCGACAUGUAUUUAUUUUUAACGUUGUUGCUGAUUAUGCAUCAGCUGAUUUUCUCACAAUGUGCCAUUAAUGAUAUUUCUUUCUCGGAUCAUAGGCUUAGGAAUCCAAGUGUGCCCUCGACCUCGCCACCUUCCGCCGGCAGUCGUGGGCCGCGGCCGCCGCCACCGCCUUCUGAAAUAAAAAAUCGUUCAGUAUUUCCACAGUCGGAUCCACCACCUAAGCCAGCUGCACCAUCUUGUAAACCCACUUGUAAAUAGUCUCUCUAGCUAUGUCAAACGUUACUACGAAUUUCUUAUUCGUUGUUUUUCUUGAUAAUUCUGUAACAUGAUUCGUUAUAGUUUUAUGGUAUUAUAUGAAAAGUUUUAAUUAUAUGCCAAUUUUCGC
This 536-nucleotide long non-coding RNA is filed under the name Salvia miltiorrhiza (redroot sage). RNAcentral describes it as "long non-coding RNA (SMIL_LNC005154)". Lineage: Eukaryota; Viridiplantae; Streptophyta; Magnoliopsida; Lamiales; Lamiaceae. The record is from RNAcentral.